RNAcentral lists this ribosomal RNA (253 nucleotides) under uncultured bacterium. RNAcentral describes it as "partial 16S ribosomal RNA". It matches the Rfam family "Bacterial small subunit ribosomal RNA", at positions 524 to 776 of the family's 1533-position model. The record is from RNAcentral.
UCCGGAGGGUGCAAGCGUUAUCCGGAAUCACUGGGUUUAAAGGGUGCGUAGGCGGCUAAAUAAGUCAGAGGUGAAAGCUUGCAGCUUAACUGCGAAAUUGCCUUUGAUACUGUAUAGCUUGAAAGGAGCUGAGGUCAACAGAAUGUGGCAUGUAGCGGUGAAAUGCAUAGAUAUGCCAUAGAAUACCAAUUGCGAAGGCAGCUGGCUGGGCUUACUUUGACGCUGAGGCACGAAAGCGUGGGGAGAAAACGGG